AAUGUUUGUGGCUUGGAAGGACAACUAUUGAGUGCAUUCAGUAUCAGUAAGUUUGGGAUACGCUUACUUGGAGAAUCAGAAAUGGGCAGCUGCAUUGCCUCAGACUCAAGAGGAAAGAAGGAAAAAAAAAGGAAAAACUAGCUACCUAAAACAAGAGAAGAGGUUUGGCAGUCCAUAACCAUCAGGCCACAUUCUGCAUGCCUAGAAACAUAAGAGAAUAGGCAUACUAUGAAAAUCAAAACAAGGAAUAAGAGGAGUUCUGAACUCUUGGAAGCAUCUAAUGAUCAGUACCGUCUCAGAAGGGAAACUGCAAAGAAUACUCCGGUGAUCCAGAUGGUCAAAGGAACAGAGAGUUUAAAUGAGACAUAUUUGCAGAUAGCCACUCAGUUGAACCCACAGGACAGCUAAGCUGUUCAAAAAGAGAUGUGAAGGCAUCCAGAAGCAACUGAUCUUUGCUGAAGAUUCUUUGCACAGGAGGGAAAGAGAUUUUUUCAAGGAACAAGAAGUCUGAACCGUUUUACAAGAAGCAAACUAUGAACUGCAAGCAUAACACAGAAUAGAUGGGGAAAGUCUGAAGGAGAGAUUCCACUGCAAUGAAAUGUUUGAUCCAAUUGAAUACAAUAGCUGAAGAUGGUCCUGAAAAUAGAACAUAAGAUCAUACGCAACAGGAAGAAAAAAAUACAUCAUUAAAUACUCCUCAAGAUCAAGCUGCAAAUGAACUAACAGUCCUGGUCCUUCAAGCUGAAUGUGGUAUUGUUCUCAUCUUUCAUUCAGAGGGUCUUGAAAGCAUUGAACUAUUCGGAUUUGUGGAUCAUAAAAGCAGGGUUCUCCAAGACAAACGUAGACAGAAUGUUUGAUUAGGUGCAGCUUUCAGGCCGAUAGCACUUUGAUCAUGGACCCCACAGAUAGUCAAAGUUCAGAAGCACUGUUACAACCUUGCUUUCACAAAACAACAGAAAACCAACAGAUGACAACAGUUAUUUUAUUCUGAUACACUAGAAGUACAUUACCAUAUCCCCCUCAAGAAAAAAAAAAGACUAUAAUUUGCAUAAAAAGGUUGCAUUUACAAAAUACGCUUUAAUGUAAGCAAUAACAAAACCAGAACUAUUACUAGGCUCCUUCACAAGAA
This is a long non-coding RNA of Cygnus atratus (black swan), 1129 nucleotides long. RefSeq lists it as uncharacterized. The record is from RefSeq and is a predicted model, not a curated record. The transcript has 3 exons. NCBI's taxonomy places the organism in Eukaryota, Metazoa, Chordata, Aves, Anseriformes, Anatidae.